Molecule: ribosomal RNA, 974 nt
Filed under: uncultured bacterium
Lineage: Bacteria
Description: bacterial SSU rRNA
Rfam family: Bacterial small subunit ribosomal RNA
Source: RNAcentral
GAGGGUCCAAGCGUUAAUCGGAAUUACUGGGCGUAAAGCGCAUGCAGGUGGUUUGUUAAGUCAGAUGUGAAAGCCCGGGGCUCAACCUCGGAAUUGCAUUUGAAACUGGCAAACUAGAGUACUGUAGAGGGGGGUAGAAUUUCAGGUGUAGCGGUGAAAUGCGUAGAGAUCUGAAGGAAUACCGGUGGCGAAGGCGGCCCCCUGGACAGAUACUGACACUCAGAUGCGAAAGCGUGGGGAGCAAACAGGAUUAGAUACCCUGGUAGUCCACGCCGUAAACGAUGUCUACUUGGAGGUUGUGGCCUUGAGCCGUGGCUUUCGGAGCUAACGCGUUAAGUAGACCGCCUGGGGAGUACGGUCGCAAGAUUAAAACUCAAAUGAAUUGACGGGGGCCCGCACAAGCGGUGGAGCAUGUGGUUUAAUUCGAUGCAACGCGAAGAACCUUACCUACUCUUGACAUCUACAGAAGCCAGCGGAGACGCAGGUGUGCCUUCGGGAACUGUAAGACAGGUGCUGCAUGGCUGUCGUCAGCUCGUGUUGUGAAAUGUUGGGUUAAGUCCCGCAACGAGCGCAACCCUUAUCCUUGUUUGCCAGCACUUCGGGUGGGAACUCCAGGGAGACUGCCGGUGAUAAACCGGAGGAAGGUGGGGACGACGUCAAGUCAUCAUGGCCCUUACGAGUAGGGCUACACACGUGCUACAAUGGCGCAUACAGAGGGCGGCCAACUUGCGAAAGUGAGCGAAUCCCAAAAAGUGCGUCGUAGUCCGGAUUGGAGUCUGCAACUCGACUCCAUGAAGUCGGAAUCGCUAGUAAUCGUGGAUCAGAAUGCCACGGUGAAUACGUUCCCGGGCCUUGUACACACCGCCCGUCACACCAUGGGAGUGGGCUGCAAAAGAAGUGGGUAGUUUAACCUUCGGGAGGACGCUCACCACUUUGUGGUUCAUGACUGGGGUGAAGUCGUAACAAGGUAACCG